GUUAGGUAAGGCUGAUCCUGGUACCAAGUCGAUCUGAUGAUCUAUUCCGCGAAUUGGAGGUAGCCCUGGUGGAAUUUCGACUGGAAAAACGUCCUUGUAUUCCUGCAAAAUCUAUAACAUAGCACUAGGAAGCUCCUGUGAACAGUUAGUACUAACAAGGGAUUCCUUGUAUACAAACAUAAAAGUAGUCAUUUCAGGAUCAAAGAGUUUAGAAAAUUCACUAUGGUUUAUGUAGAGGCUGUUGGCGACUUUCUCCUUCUCCUUGAGCUUCAUCUGAAUCUGAUCUUGGUAAAUCUCGGUAGGCGUGAGAGGUAGGAGGGUAAUUUUGCGACCUUUGAACUCGAAUGAGUGCUUGUUGGUAUAACCGUCGUGUAUCACCCUACGAUCAGAUUGCCACGGUCUGCCUAGCAACACAUGACUCGAACCCAUGGGAAUGACGUCACAUAGAAUUUCAUCUUCAUACUUCCCAAUA
Molecule: long non-coding RNA, 472 nt
Filed under: Eutrema salsugineum
Lineage: Eukaryota; Viridiplantae; Streptophyta; Magnoliopsida; Brassicales; Brassicaceae
Description: long non-coding RNA (ESAL_LNC000964)
Source: RNAcentral